UUCGGAAAGGGUCUUGUGGUAUUUACCCUAUGGAAUCCUUAGGGUGGCCCCAUUUUACAGAUGAGGAAGGGGGGGCCCAGGUCACAGACCUGCUAGGAUUCAGACCCAGGGCUGCUGGCCUUAGCUCAUCAAAUGAGUGACCGAGUGAAGAAAUGACACGGCCCGAGGGAGUGAAUAAUGGUGGGGGCCUGGGUUCCUCCCUGUACAGUCGCUGAGGGUGGCUCUAGGCACUGUGAUGUCAUGGAUGAGGGGCCUGUGCCAGGAGGCUGGGGGCACAUCACAGCUCUGAGUGGCACCUGGGGAGGGGGGACCCCCCCCCCCGCCCCUGGGGCCAGCGCUGGUGGGAGGGGUCUUCUGUUCAUCUCUGUGCAUUUUAUAUUUUACUCAUUUUCUACAAAGGCAAGUGUGCCUUGCCUUUCAUAAUGUGAAAAGAAAACCACAAAAAAUUAAGACUCUUAGAUAAAAGCACAUUUAGACAUAAAUUAACUGAGAAAAUGUAGCUAAAGUGAGCUCUUAGCAGGAUGCUUAGUCAAAAGUGGUCUCCCGCAUGAGGGGAAGCAGGUGGCUGGGUUGCCGAUGAGUGUCUGUCCACUGUCCCCUCCAGAAGGACGGGGUGUGCCGCUGCGUCCACCCCCAAGCUGUGAUAAUCACUGACCUUUAUGUCGUGGUGACCAAAUGCUAUCUCCACAGUAACCUCGUGAGGGAGCGUGGCGUCCCGCAAAGGGCGUGUUCAGGGCCAACAGACCUGGAUGUGCGAGGCCCUGCGGCCCCACUCACUGCGUCUGCGAGCUCAGAGGGGGAAACUGAGGCACAGAGCUGCCCAGCCCCUCCGGACUGUGGGGCUGUGGACCGUGCCCGCUACUGGUCCCACAGGGCGUGGGGCUGUCACCUGGCCACGGGGCUUUGUCUCCUCCAGGUGCAGGGAAGGACCUCAGGCGGCAGGAGAAGGUUCUGGGCCCGGGAGCCUCCUGCUCCUCCCACGGUGAGACAGGUGCGUGAGCAUUCCUGCUGGGCCCUCCCCAGGCGGGAAGCAGGGGAUGCCAGGAGCCGGGAGGGUGACAGUCUGGCAGGUGCCCUUGGGCCUGUGCCGGCUCCACAGGACGGAGAGAGGGAGGGGGAGGGGUGAGAAAGAUGACGGAUGGCCGGCGCCUGCCGCGUUUUCCGUGGGUGUCUGGCUGGUGACCUUUGGGAGGAAUGGAUUCAGAAGUGAGUGCU
This 1215-nucleotide long non-coding RNA is filed under the name Felis catus (domestic cat). RNAcentral's name for it is "lncRNA (ENSFCAG00000043875.2)". Lineage: Eukaryota; Metazoa; Chordata; Mammalia; Carnivora; Felidae. The record is from RNAcentral.